Molecule: non-coding RNA, 1051 nt
Organism: Pygocentrus nattereri (red-bellied piranha)
Lineage: Eukaryota; Metazoa; Chordata; Actinopteri; Characiformes; Serrasalmidae
Source: the annotation of a RefSeq genome assembly
AGUCCAGCAAUGACACUAAGUUUUUAAACACCUAUUUUAUUUAAACAUUUUAAAUGACAUUUUAGAGACUCUAUAACCAUAAACCCUAAACUGUAUUGGGGCAAAACACACUUGCGUCCUCCUAUAGGCAGGUUCACUACAGCUCUGGUUGUUUUAAACUAACCUAACUUUUGCUGAUUGUUUAUUUAAUUUCUGAUGGUCAACCCAAUUUCUGUGUUCUGUAACUGUCCCCAUGUUGAUGAAUGAAGGGAAUUUGGCCUCUGUGCUCCCUCAUAUUCAUCUCGCAGUGAAACAGGAAAUCACAGACGGCUUUCAGACAGUUCCUGAAUUCUGUACAUUGUGUUGCUUUUAUUUGUUGAAUUAAACCACUGCCCACUACUCUGUCUUAAAUAGGUUUGGCCUUCAUGGGUCAGUAGAUAAGCAAAUACAAGCUGCCUCCCUGCAUCUCUCUGUAUUUAGAAGACACUCUCUAAGCAGUAGAGAACAGAGAAGAUCCUACAGGUCCAACUUCAACACCAGCCAUGUUCUCUACAUCUCUGCUGCUCCUGCUGGCAGCUGCAUCCUGUGUUCACUGUGAAGAACUGACUCAGCCUGGUUCCAUGGUGGUCCGUCCAGGCCAGAGUCUGACCAUCGACUGCAAGGUUUCAUAUUCAGUUACAAGCUAUUAUUCAGCUUGGAUCCGACAGCCUGCAGGAAAAGCUCUGGAGUGGAUUGGAUAUAUGUAUAGUGAUGGGAGCACAGCUUACAGUGAUAAACUGAAGAGCAAGUUCAGCUUCUCCAGAGACACUGGAACCAACACAAUAACAUUACGAGGACAGAACCUGCAGACUGAAGACACAGCUGUGUAUUACUGUGCGAGACACACAGUGACACUAACUAAUGAACACGGCUUACAAAAACCCAGAGCCGACACUCAGCUAAACUUGAAAGGGUCAUUAAAUAGUCGCUUGUGUCAUAUUUGUCUUUUUUGCAUGUAAAACACAAGGUGCUGUUAAUAUAUACAAAAAAGUGGUGUUUUAAAAUAUAAAAUCAAUAAACAAAGUGUUUCUCA